UACGUAGGGAGCAAGCGUUGUCCGGAAUCAUUGGGCGUAAAGCGCGCGUAGGUGGCCCUGUAAGUCCGUUGUGAAAGUCAAAGGCUCAACCUUUGAAAGCCGAUGGAUACUGCAGGGCUAGAGUACGGAAGAGGCGAGUGGAAUUCCUGGUGUAGCGGUGGAAUGCGCAGAUAUCAGGAGGAACACCAAUAGCGAAGGCAGCUCGCUGGGCCACUACUGACGCUGAGAAGCGAAAGCAUGGGGAGCGAACAGG
RNAcentral lists this ribosomal RNA (253 nucleotides) under uncultured bacterium. RNAcentral describes it as "partial 16S ribosomal RNA". It matches the Rfam family "Bacterial small subunit ribosomal RNA", at positions 524 to 776 of the family's 1533-position model. The record is from RNAcentral.